RNAcentral lists this transfer RNA (66 nucleotides) under Pagastia nivis. RNAcentral describes it as "tRNA-Leu". The record is from RNAcentral. Lineage: Eukaryota; Metazoa; Arthropoda; Insecta; Diptera; Chironomidae. RNAcentral also lists the same sequence under 4 other names.
ACUAUUUUGGCAGAUUAGUGCAAUAAAUUUAGAAUUUAUUUAUGUAAAUUAUAUUUACAAAUAGUA